UUGGGAUAACUUCAGGAAACUGGGGCUAAUACCGGAUAGGAGCUCCUGCUGCAUGGUGGGGGUUGGGAAAGUUUCGGCGGUUGGGGAUGGACUCGCGGCUUAUCAGCUUGUUGGUGGGGUAGUGGCUUACCAAGGCUUUGACGGGUAGCCGGCCUGAGAGGGUGACCGGCCACAUUGGGACUGAGAUACGGCCCAG
RNAcentral lists this ribosomal RNA (196 nucleotides) under uncultured Actinomycetales bacterium. Its description in RNAcentral is "partial 16S ribosomal RNA". It matches the Rfam family "Bacterial small subunit ribosomal RNA", at positions 138 to 334 of the family's 1533-position model. The record is from RNAcentral. Lineage: Bacteria; Bacillati; Actinomycetota; Actinomycetes; Actinomycetales.